ACUCCUACGGGAGGCAGCAGUGGGGAAUAUUGGACAAUGGGCGCAAGCCUGAUCCAGCCAUGCCGCGUGAGUGAUGAAGGCCUUAGGGUUGUAAAGCUCUUUGUCCGGGACGAUAAUGACGGUACCGGAAGAAUAAGCCCCGCUAGCUUACGUGCCAGCAGCCGCGGUAAUACGAAGGGCGUAGCGUUGCUCGGAAUCACUGGGCGUAAAGGGCGCGUAGGCGGCCUUGUAAGUUGGGGGUGAAAGCCCGUGGCUCAACCACGGAAUUGCCUUCGAUACUGCUUGGCUUGAGUGUGGUAGAGGUUGGUGGAACUGCGAGUGUAGAGGUGAAAUUCGUAGAUAUUCGCAAGAACACCGGUGGCGAAGGCGGCCAACUGGACCAUCACUGACGCUGAGGCGCGAAAGCGUGGGGAGCAAACAGGAUUAGAUACCCUGGUAGCGUCGUCUU
Molecule: ribosomal RNA, 448 nt
Filed under: uncultured bacterium
Lineage: Bacteria
Description: bacterial SSU rRNA
Rfam family: Bacterial small subunit ribosomal RNA
Source: RNAcentral